UAUGGUUGAGCCUUAUGGCUCCAAUACUGGGAGACGUGGUCGUAAGACUCCUCGAGAGUCAGACUCUCUCGAGGAGCGAGAGAGGAAACGGCUGCGGGAUAUCUUUGCAGAACCAUCUGACGAAGACUCCUUUGAGGGUUUUACCGAGAGAAUGGAGGAAGAGGUGGUUAGCUCAGAGGAGGAUGAUAUGGAAUGGACUCGUGUGAGGGAGGAUUUGGGUGUUCCUGGUAAUGAUAGCAUGGGAAGCGACUGGCGGGUUGCAGGAUCGGACCCGUGGACGAGCUGGAGGGAUGGAACGGGAUCCACAGCUGGGGAUGCUGUGGGGUGUAGUCAAAGAUGUUUUAGCUCUGAUGAGGAUGAUGAUGAUGAGGCACCUGGAAUUAGGGUAACACCUGAUAGCGAUGAGGAGUUGUAACUGGCAUAUAAUGGGGUCUUGAAUCCGGGGCUAAUUGCGUUGGGCAAGGUAAUCUGGACGAACGCUUGGGCUCUUGUUGGGAAUUUCCUGAAGACGGGUGUGUUUCGUUUGCUGAAUACCUUGGACCCUCCGUCGUCUUCUUGACGGACAUUAUUUACCUACUCGGAAUUGACGCUGGACUGGCUGACUGACUGAUUGACUGACUGACUGACUGACUACGAUCUUGGACGACCCUUUCUUUGGCUAUCGGAGGUUUUCGUGGAACCUAAGACGCCUGCACCUGGCUAUCGACCUCGGACCGGAUUGAGACCCCGCUGACCGCUGCAACCCUGAUUGAUGUGUUUGGACCCGGAGUUCGCCCGCUGCACGGAGGAGUAACAACUUAGUUGCUCAACCACAGCUGUUGAGUAGCAGAGAGGAAUCUGCUGCCAGUAUUUAUGUUCUAUUGAAUGUUUGUUUACCAGCUUUUGUUUGUUUAAAGUCCCAGGCUGAAGUAAGCAUUUUUGGUUUAACCCGGAUUAAACUCUUGUUUAAUCCGGUUUAUCUUUUGAACCGUUUUUGAGUGACUUUUCAUAUUGAAGGCGAGUGUUUGCCUAGCUCUUUGUUUUUUACGAGCAUUUUUGGUUCUGUAUCUUUAAUAAACUGUGUUGAAUCUUA
This is a long non-coding RNA of Anolis carolinensis (green anole), 1072 nucleotides long. RefSeq lists it as uncharacterized. Lineage: Eukaryota; Metazoa; Chordata; Lepidosauria; Squamata; Anolidae. The record is from RefSeq and is a predicted model, not a curated record. The transcript has 2 exons.